Long non-coding RNA from Eriocheir sinensis (Chinese mitten crab), 1046 nucleotides. RefSeq lists it as uncharacterized. Lineage: Eukaryota; Metazoa; Arthropoda; Malacostraca; Decapoda; Varunidae. The record is from RefSeq and is a predicted model, not a curated record. The transcript is spliced from 3 exons.
CGUGUAGUCCAGGACGUGACAGCUGUGUUGAGUGACAUAGCUCGACAAGAGAUAAAAAUGACCUCCACGAUGCAUGCAUUGAUGGAAUCGGCAACAGCUUUUGCAAGAGUUCGGAGUUUCCCUCGGGUUAUUGGUGCCAUUGAUUGUACUCAUAUUUCCAUUAAGGCACCCCAUGAAAAUGAGGCUGCCUACGUGAACAGGAAGAGGUACCACUCUUUCAACAUCCAAGUUGUGUGUGAUGCUGCUGGUAUGAUCAUCAGCUAUUGUGUCAUUUCCAGGUAAGUGUUCCUUAUUGAUGAUAUCAUUUAUUGUUAGGCAUGUUAAUAGUUAAAUCACAAACAUCCCUUACCUGCUACAGCAUUUCUAAAGUUUGAUUUUUAGCAAGAAUAAUUGCAGAUUAGCUAUUUAGGCAAUGGAACUUGAGCAUUUGAAGAUGCUAAGACUCCACCAGCGUUGGGCACACCAAACAUGCUACAGCUUUUCUCUUGAGUCUGGUAUUUUUUUCCAGUAUUAACAUGUCCAUGUUUUGGAAUCCUUUUUUUUAUUCUCCCCUUUUUAGCAGGGUCAAAUCACGACUCCUUCAUCUGGCACCAUUGCGACCUAUAUGAACGCUUUCGCAGGGGUGAGUUUGGGGACUACCUGCUCCUUGGUGCGUAUCUGGAGGGAUGUUGAUGUUCUUGACAAAUGUUGCAUUACAUAUGUUACAUAAAUACCUUUUCAGUAAAUACUUAGUGUGUUACAGUAGCUUUCUUAAGUAGUUAUUUCACAUCCUGAAAAUGAUAUCACAUGACUGUAAUCUUUACAGGUGACAGCGGCUAUGCAUUAGAGCCAUUUUUGAUGACUCCAGUCCGCAACCCCACAACAGAACCGGAGGAGCGCUACAAUAGGGCCCAUACACGGACACGUGUCGUUGUGGAGCAAACCUUUGGAAUACUAAAGAGCCGGUUCAGGUGCCUUCACAAAUCUGGGGUGCCUUGCAGUAUGCUCCCAUGAAGUGCCUCAACAUCAUCACCUCAUGUUUACUGCUGCACAACCGCUGUGUCCAG